AAUUUAUUAGGCAGAGGAUCUAAAUAGAAAAUAUUACAACUAGCUUUGAAAAAUCAAAUGAACAAUUGACUGAUGUAUUCAGCAAGUCAUUAAGAGGUCCUCAAUAUAAAUUGUGAAUUUAUUAGGCAGAGGAUCUAAAUAGAAAAUAUUACAACUAGCUUUGAAAAAUCAAAUGAACNGAAAAUAUUACAACUAGCUUUGAAAAAUCAAAUGAACAAUUGACUGAUGUAUUCAGUAAGUCAUUAAGAGGUCCUCAAUAUAAAAUGUGACUUCUUGACUUCUAUCCUUGUACACAGAUAAGGCUUGGUAAAUAUGACUUCUAUCCUCUAGCUUGAGAGGGAGUGAGAACUAUGAAAAUAGGGUAAUGUGUUUACAUCUUGUGUUUCACCACUAAAUAUAAAAUGUACUCCAAUGUGUAAUUGGCAUUGAUCCACUUAAAUUUUCUCUCCCUUUUACUGAAGCAACAAUGACUACUCCAUAAAAAGUUUGCUUAGUUACCUCUCUCAAAUAUCAAUUCUUAACAUAUUUAAUAAAGUUUAGGACCUCNUAACUUUCUCCUUGAAACUGUCAACAUGACUGUUACUAUUCAAAAUAUGCUAAUAAUAUACAGCUCCAAAUGACAUUUGUUACUAUACAUUUUAACAUGUAACUUACUUUUUUCUCUUUUAUUUUAGGCAACUCAAAAGAGAAGCUCAACGGGUCAAUAAUCAUGUUCUGGUCACAAGAUCCUGGUUCUUCAAUAAGAAAAAGACUCGGUUCCCAUAAAUAUACUUCAGCCUGACUUUUAAUUUUAACUGACUAAAUUGUCCAAAGAUUUAAUAUACUAUCAGUUAGAACACAAAANUUAAAUCUAGAAAAGAAAAGGAACACCCAAAUACAGUGACUCCAAAUGAAAAGCUACCACCAGUAGGUUCUAAAUUGCACCCUCCACCAUCAAUUCAUGUUAUUAAUUUUCAUUAAAGUAUAGCAAGCAAGGAAAUUCAC
This 984-nucleotide long non-coding RNA is filed under the name Vigna radiata. RNAcentral's name for it is "long non-coding RNA (VRAD_LNC007535)". The record is from RNAcentral. Lineage: Eukaryota; Viridiplantae; Streptophyta; Magnoliopsida; Fabales; Fabaceae.